Dipodomys ordii (Ord's kangaroo rat) is the source of this 70-nucleotide non-coding RNA. Lineage: Eukaryota; Metazoa; Chordata; Mammalia; Rodentia; Heteromyidae. The record is from Rfam.
GGGAAAGUGGCUCAGUGGUAGAGUGCUUGCCUUGCAUGCAUAAGGCCCUGGGUUCGAUUCCUCAGCACCA